UGCGCGCCCUGCCGACCCU
Molecule: unclassified non-coding RNA, 19 nt
Filed under: Mus musculus (house mouse)
Lineage: Eukaryota; Metazoa; Chordata; Mammalia; Rodentia; Muridae
Description: oocyte_clustered_small_RNA7022
Source: RNAcentral